RNAcentral lists this ribosomal RNA (465 nucleotides) under uncultured bacterium. RNAcentral's name for it is "partial 16S ribosomal RNA". It matches the Rfam family "Bacterial small subunit ribosomal RNA", at positions 28 to 507 of the family's 1533-position model. The record is from RNAcentral.
GACGAACGCUGGCGGCGUGCUUAACACAUGCAAGUCGAACGGAAAGGCCCUGCUUGCAGGGUACUCGAGUGGCGAACGGGUGAGUAACACGUGGGUGAUCUGCCCUGCACUUCGGGAUAAGCCGGGGAAACUGGGUCUAAACCCGGUCUGAAGCCAUUUUGGUUUGGAGGGUGGGAAAGUUUUUUGGGUGUGGGUUGAGCGCGCGGCCUAUCAGCUUGUUGGUGGGGUAAUGGCCUACCAAGGCGGCGACGGGUAGCCGGCCUGAGAGGGUGGACGGCCACAUUGGGACUGAGAUACGGCCCAGACUCCUACGGGAGGCAGCAGUGGGGAAUAUUGCACAAUGGGCGCAAGCCUGAUGCAGCGACGCCGCGUGGGGGAUGACGGCCUUCGGGUUGUAAACUCCUUUCGCUAGGGACGAAGCUUUUUGUGACGGUACCUAGAUAAGAAGCACCGGCUAACUACGUG